RNAcentral lists this ribosomal RNA (253 nucleotides) under uncultured bacterium. RNAcentral's name for it is "partial 16S ribosomal RNA". It matches the Rfam family "Bacterial small subunit ribosomal RNA", at positions 524 to 776 of the family's 1533-position model. The record is from RNAcentral.
UACGGAGGGGGCAAGCGUUAUUCGGAAUUAUUGGGCGUAAAGGGCGCGUAGGCGGCUAGAUGUGUCAAAGGUGAAAUCCCUCGGCUCAACUGAGGAACUGCCUUUGAAACUGUCUGGCUUGAGGCCGGGAGAGGGUAGCGGAAUUCCCAGUGUAGCGGUGAAAUGCGUAGAUAUUGGGAGGAACACCAGUGGCGAAGGCGGCUACCUGGACCGGUCCUGACGCUGAGGCGCGAAAGCGUGGGGAGCGAACGGG